RNAcentral lists this ribosomal RNA (253 nucleotides) under uncultured bacterium. Its description in RNAcentral is "partial 16S ribosomal RNA". It matches the Rfam family "Bacterial small subunit ribosomal RNA", at positions 524 to 776 of the family's 1533-position model. The record is from RNAcentral.
UACGUAGGGAGCAAGCGUUGUCCGGAAUCAUUGGGCGUAAAGCGCGCGUAGGUGGCCUCAUAAGUCCGCUGUGAAAGUCAAAGGCUCAACCUUUGAAAGCCGGUGGAUACUGUGAGGCUAGAGUACGGAAGAGGCGAGUGGAAUUCCUGGUGUAGCGGUGGAAUGCGCAGAUAUCAGGAGGAACACCAAUAGCGAAGGCGGGUCUCUGGGCCGUAACUGACGCUGAGGAGCGAAAGCGUGGGGAGCGAACAGG